This 372-nucleotide ribosomal RNA is filed under the name Triticum aestivum (bread wheat). RNAcentral describes it as "partial small subunit ribosomal RNA". Lineage: Eukaryota; Viridiplantae; Streptophyta; Magnoliopsida; Poales; Poaceae. The record is from RNAcentral.
GGCCUCUGUACAAAUGUCUCCAAAAGCUCAGUUGCCCCCAUUCGUUGCCGAAACCUUAACCUUGACGCCAUUCUUCAUGGGCUCCCCGCUAAGAGAGCUUCCUUCCCGCUAAAAUACCUGGGGCUGCCCUUGUUGGUGUGGCAGCUCAAACGUGCCGACUUUCAGUACAUGGAGGAUCAGGUCGCUGGAAGGCUUGUACCUUGGGAAGGGAGAUACAUUGCAACACCGGGCUGUAUAGUGUUGGUCAAAUCGGUCCUGACCUCGCAGGUUGUCUUCACUGCUACUGCUCUUCCCAUUCCUAAGGGCACCCUGAACAACAUCAGCAAGAUUGAGCGAGCGUUCCUUUGGUCGGCCUCGCACAAGACGACUGGG